RNAcentral lists this ribosomal RNA (1649 nucleotides) under Escherichia coli. Its description in RNAcentral is "partial 23S ribosomal RNA". It matches the Rfam family "Bacterial large subunit ribosomal RNA", at positions 581 to 2215 of the family's 2925-position model. Lineage: Bacteria; Pseudomonadati; Pseudomonadota; Gammaproteobacteria; Enterobacterales; Enterobacteriaceae. The record is from RNAcentral.
ACGCUUAGGCGUGUGACUGCGUACCUUUUGUAUAAUGGGUCAGCGACUUAUAUUCUGUAGCAAGGUUAACCGAAUAGGGGAGCCGAAGGGAAACCGAGUCUUAACUGGGCGUUAAGUUGCAGGGUAUAGACCCGAAACCCGGUGAUCUAGCCAUGGGCAGGUUGAAGGUUGGGUAACACUAACUGGAGGACCGAACCGACUAAUGUUGAAAAAUUAGCGGAUGACUUGUGGCUGGGGGUGAAAGGCCAAUCAAACCGGGAGAUAGCUGGUUCUCCCCGAAAGCUAUUUAGGUAGCGCCUCGUGAAUUCAUCUCCGGGGGUAGAGCACUGUUUCGGCAAGGGGGUCAUCCCGACUUACCAACCCGAUGCAAACUGCGAAUACCGGAGAAUGUUAUCACGGGAGACACACGGCGGGUGCUAACGUCCGUCGUGAAGAGGGAAACAACCCAGACCGCCAGCUAAGGUCCCAAAGUCAUGGUUAAGUGGGAAACGAUGUGGGAAGGCCCAGACAGCCAGGAUGUUGGCUUAGAAGCAGCCAUCAUUUAAAGAAAGCGUAAUAGCUCACUGGUCGAGUCGGCCUGCGCGGAAGAUGUAACGGGGCUAAACCAUGCACCGAAGCUGCGGCAGCGACGCUGAUGCGUUGUUGGGUAGGGGAGCGUUCUGUAAGCCUGCGAAGGUGUGCUGUGAGGCAUGCUGGAGGUAUCAGAAGUGCGAAUGCUGACAUAAGUAACGAUAAAGCGGGUGAAAAGCCCGCUCGCCGGAAGACCAAGGGUUCCUGUCCAACGUUAAUCGGGGCAGGGUGAGUCGACCCCUAAGGCGAGGCCGAAAGGCGUAGUCGAUGGGAAACAGGUUAAUAUUCCUGUACUUGGUGUUACUGCGAAGGGGGGACGGAGAAGGCUAUGUUGGCCGGGCGACGGUUGUCCCGGUUUAAGCGUGUAGGCUGGUUUUCCAGGCAAAUCCGGAAAAUCAAGGCUGAGGCGUGAUGACGAGGCACUACGGUGCUGAAGCAACAAAUGCCCUGCUUCCAGGAAAAGCCUCUAAGCAUCAGGUAACAUCAAAUCGUACCCCAAACCGACACAGGUGGUCAGGUAGAGAAUACCAAGGCGCUUGAGAGAACUCGGGUGAAGGAACUAGGCAAAAUGGUGCCGUAACUUCGGGAGAAGGCACGCUGAUAUGUAGGUGAAGCGACUUGCUCGUGGAGCUGAAAUCAGUCGAAGAUACCAGCUGGCUGCAACUGUUUAUUAAAAACACAGCACUGUGCAAACACGAAAGUGGACGUAUACGGUGUGACGCCUGCCCGGUGCCGGAAGGUUAAUUGAUGGGGUUAGCGCAAGCGAAGCUCUUGAUCGAAGCCCCGGUAAACGGCGGCCGUAACUAUAACGGUCCUAAGGUAGCGAAAUUCCUUGUCGGGUAAGUUCCGACCUGCACGAAUGGCGUAAUGAUGGCCAGGCUGUCUCCACCCGAGACUCAGUGAAAUUGAACUCGCUGUGAAGAUGCAGUGUACCCGCGGCAAGACGGAAAGACCCCGUGAACCUUUACUAUAGCUUGACACUGAACAUUGAGCCUUGAUGUGUAGGAUAGGUGGGAGGCUUUGAAGUGUGGACGCCAGUCUGCAUGGAGCCGACCUUGAAAUACCACCCUUUAAUGUUU